AUUGAACGCUGGCGGCAUGCCUUACACAUGCAAGUCGAACGGCAGCACGGGAGCAAUCCUGGUGGCGAGUGGCGAACGGGUGAGUAAUGCAUCGGAACGUGCCAUUGAGUGGGGGAUAACGUAGCGAAAGUUACGCUAAUACCGCAUAUUCUGUGCGCAGGAAAGCAGGGGAUCGCAAGGCCUCACGCUCACGGAGCGGCCGAUGUCGGAUUAGCUAGUUGGUGGGGUAAAGGCUUACCAAGGCGACGAUCCGUAGCUGGUCUGAGAGGAUGAUCAGCCACACUGGGACUGAGACACGGCCCAGACUCCUACGGGAGGCAGCAGUGGGGAAUUUUGGACAAUGGGGGCAACCCUGAUCCAGCCAUGCCGCGUG
Molecule: ribosomal RNA, 373 nt
Filed under: uncultured bacterium
Lineage: Bacteria
Description: bacterial SSU rRNA
Rfam family: Bacterial small subunit ribosomal RNA
Source: RNAcentral